AGUGAACGCUGGCGGCGUGGAUAAGGCAUGCAAGUCGAACGGAAAGGCCCCAGCUUGCUGGGGUACUCGAGUGGCGAACGGGUGAGUAACACGUGGGUGAUCUGCCCUGCACUUUGGGAUAAGCUUGGGAAACUGGGUCUAAUACCGAAUAUGACCACUUCUUGGAUGUUGUGGUGGAAAGCUUUUGCGGUGUGGGGAUGAGCCUGCGGCCUAUCAGCUUGUUGGUGGGGUAAUGGCCUACCAAGGCGGCGACGGGUAUCCGGCCUGAGAGGGGGUACGGACACAUUGGGACUGAGAUACGGCCCAGACUCCUACGGGAGGCAGCAGUGGGGAAUAUUGCACAAUGGGCGCAAGCCUGAUGCAGCGACGCCGCGUGGGGGAUGAAGGCCUUCGGGUUGUAAACUCCUUUCGCUAUCGACGAAGCCACUUGUGGUGACGGUAGGUAGAUAAGAAGCACCGGCUAACUACGUGCCAGCCGCCGCCGUAA
RNAcentral lists this ribosomal RNA (487 nucleotides) under uncultured bacterium. RNAcentral's name for it is "partial 16S ribosomal RNA". It matches the Rfam family "Bacterial small subunit ribosomal RNA", at positions 28 to 523 of the family's 1533-position model. The record is from RNAcentral.